Molecule: small RNA, 345 nt
Filed under: Grifola frondosa (maitake)
Lineage: Eukaryota; Fungi; Basidiomycota; Agaricomycetes; Polyporales; Grifolaceae
Description: 5' ureB small RNA
Rfam family: 5' ureB small RNA
Source: Rfam by way of RNAcentral
CCUCCGUGACCUGCUGCGGGCAGAUGUAGUGGACAUGCGCAUCGAUCGCACCGGCGGUGACAAUGAGCUUCUCCCCGCGAUGACCUCGGUCGCGCAGCCGAUGACGAGGUCAGGGUGGACCGAAGCCAUCACGUCGGGGUUGCCCGCUUUGCCUAUGCCGGCGAUCACGCCGUCCUUCACGCCGAUGUCUGCCUGUGGGAGCGUUCAGCGGGUGCGGGGGACCUCAGAGGAGAUCCUGCGUACCUUGUAUAUGCCAGACCAGUCGACGAUGAGCGCGUUCGUGAUGACGAGAUCGAGUGUUCCGGAUGCAGAGCGAUCGGUGGCUUGCCCCAUGCCCUCCCGAAU